RNAcentral lists this ribosomal RNA (605 nucleotides) under Salinispora pacifica. Its description in RNAcentral is "bacterial SSU rRNA". It matches the Rfam family "Bacterial small subunit ribosomal RNA", at positions 104 to 723 of the family's 1533-position model. The record is from RNAcentral. Lineage: Bacteria; Bacillati; Actinomycetota; Actinomycetes; Micromonosporales; Micromonosporaceae.
GGGUGAGUAACACGUGAGUAACCUGCCCCAGGCUUUGGGAUAACCCCGGGAAACCGGGGCUAAUACCGGAUAUGACUGGCUGCCGCAUGGUGGUUGGUGGAAAGAUUUUUCGGCUUGGGAUGGACUCGCGGCCUAUCAGCUUGUUGGUGGGGUAAUGGCCUACCAAGGCGGCGACGGGUAGCCGGCCUGAGAGGGCGACCGGCCACACUGGGACUGAGACACGGCCCAGACUCCUACGGGAGGCAGCAGUGGGGAAUCUUGCACAAUGGGCGGAAGCCUGAUGCAGCGACGCCGCGUGAGGGAUGACGGCCUUCGGGUUGUAAACCUCUUUCAGCAGGGACGAAGCGUUUGUGACGGUACCUGCAGAAGAAGCGCCGGCCAACUACGUGCCAGCAGCCGCGGUAAGACGUAGGGCGCGAGCGUUGUCCGGAUUUAUUGGGCGUAAAGAGCUCGUAGGCGGCUUGUCGCGUCGACUGUGAAAACCCGUGGCUCAACUUCGGGCUUGCAGUCGAUACGGGCAGGCUAGAGUUCGGUAGGGGAGACUGGAAUUCCUGGUGUAGCGGUGAAAUGCGCAGAUAUCAGGAGGAACACCGGUGGCGAAGGCG